Molecule: ribosomal RNA, 702 nt
Filed under: uncultured bacterium
Lineage: Bacteria
Description: bacterial SSU rRNA
Rfam family: Bacterial small subunit ribosomal RNA
Source: RNAcentral
GGGCACUAUGAGGGGCUCGCGGCCUAUCAGCUAGUUGGUGAGGUAAUGGCUCACCAAGGCUACGACGGGUAGCUGGUCUGAGAGGAUGGCCAGCCACAUUGGGACUGAGAAACGGCCCAGACUCCUACGGGAGGCAGCAGUGGGGAAUCUUGCGCAAUGGCCUAACGGCUGACGCAGCGACGCCGCGUGAGGGAUGACGCUCUUCGGAGUGUAAACCUCUUUUGCCUGGAACGAACUAUCAGCAUUCGCUGAUUUGACGGUACCGGGUGAAUAAGCACCGGCUAACUCCGUGCCGGCAGCCGCGGUAAUACGGGGGGUGCAAGCGUUGUCCGGAAUCACUGGGCGUAAAGGGCGCGUAGGUGGCAUGAUAAGGGUGUGGUGAAAGCCCGGGGCUCAACCCCGGGUCGGCCAUGCCGACUGUCACGCUAGAGUACUGUAGGGGCAGGCGGAAUUCCGGGUGUAGCGGUGGAAUGCGUAGAGAUCCGGAGGAAGACCGGUGGCGAAGGCGGCCUGCUGGGCAGUUACUGACACUGAUGCGCGACAGCGUGGGGAGCAAACAGGAUUAGAUACCCUGGUAGUCCACGCCGUAAACGAUGGGUACUAGGUGCCUGGGGGAGCGACCCCUUGGGUGCCGGCGCUAACGCAGGAAGUACCCCGCCUGGGGAGUACGGCCGCAAGGCUGAAACUCAAAGGAAUUGACGG